AACGCACCUUGCGCCCCUUGGCAUUCCGAGGGGCACACCCGUUUGAGUGUCGUGAAUUCAUCAAAACCUUUUCUUUGAUUCUUUUCGGUCAGGAAAAGGAUUUUUGGACUUGGAGGUUCUAUGCUUGCUUUCGCUUAUGAAAGUGAGCUCCUCUCAAAUGAAUUAGUGGGGUCUGCUUUGCUGAUCCUUGAUGUGAUAAGAUGUUUCUACAUUUUGGAUUUAGCACUGUCCCUUGGACACCUGCUCCUAACUGUCCCUUGGACAAUGAUGGUGCUUCGGUUGCCGCCAUCUACAUUGGCGGGGGCCGGACCCACCAAAAAAAAAAAACCUUGACCUCAAAUCGGGUGAGACUACCCGCUGAACUUAA
This 367-nucleotide unclassified non-coding RNA is filed under the name uncultured Russula. RNAcentral's name for it is "partial contains 5.8S ribosomal RNA, internal transcribed spacer 2, and large subunit ribosomal RNA". The record is from RNAcentral. Lineage: Eukaryota; Fungi; Basidiomycota; Agaricomycetes; Russulales; Russulaceae.